GUCAGAAGCCCUACCGUCUGCAGUUACUACAGAGUAGGUCAUCUAUCUGAAGUGAAGUAGGUUUGGGCCUGGUCAGUAGUGGGAGACCAAGUGGGAAAGCUGGGUUGCUGCUGGAG
This 116-nucleotide ribosomal RNA is filed under the name Paramormyrops kingsleyae. The record is from RNAcentral. Lineage: Eukaryota; Metazoa; Chordata; Actinopteri; Osteoglossiformes; Mormyridae.